Molecule: ribosomal RNA, 497 nt
Filed under: uncultured bacterium
Lineage: Bacteria
Description: partial 16S ribosomal RNA
Rfam family: Bacterial small subunit ribosomal RNA
Source: RNAcentral
GACGAACGCUGGCGGCGUGCCUAAUACAUGCAAGUCGAACGCUGAAGAGUGGUGCUUUCUCUUCUUGGAUGAGAUGCGAACGGGUGAGUAACGCGUAGGUACCCUGCCUUGUAGCGAGGGAUCAAUAUCUGAACUGAUAGCUCAUACCGCAUAACAAUGGAUGCCACAUGUCGUUUAUUUGAAAGGGGCAAUUGCUCCACUACAAGAUGGACCUGCGUUGUAUUAGCUAGUAGGUGGGGUAAUGGCUUACCUAGGCGACGGUACAUAGCCGACCUGAGAGGGUGAUCGGCCACACUGGGACUGAGACACGGCCCAGACGCCUGCGGGGGGGAGCAGGAGGGAAUCUUCGGCAAUGGGGGCAAACCUGAACGAACAACGCCGCGGGAGAGAAGGAGGUUUUCGGAUCGUAAAGCUGUGUUGUUAGGCAAGGACGAGUGUGUGGGUGAAAAGUUCACACUGUGACGGUAGCGUACGAGAAAGGGACGGCUAACUACGUG